Molecule: long non-coding RNA, 236 nt
Organism: Hydra vulgaris (swiftwater hydra)
Lineage: Eukaryota; Metazoa; Cnidaria; Hydrozoa; Anthoathecata; Hydridae
Source: RefSeq, a predicted model, not a curated record
CUGAAGCAUGAAAUUACUGAAGUGGCAACUUUUGUCUCUGUUUUCUAUACUACCUAGUUUCUCAAAGCUGAACUAUCCGCUGCUGCUCCGAAUCAGGAUAUGAGAGCGCUUUGGCAAAUGAAUAGGUUUAAGGAGUACAAUUUGAUUGGGGCAGAAUCAGUCAUUAAAUCUAUCAAACGCCACACAUGGUUUCUGGACCCUUACCUUAUUGUACUAGCUCUAGCUGAUGAAAAAUG